GACAGAGGAGCCAAGCGUUGUCCGGAUUGACUGGGCGUAAAGCGCACGCAGGCGGUCGCGCGCGUGGGGUGUGAAAUCUGGCCGCUUAACGGCCAGGCGCCAUCCCAUACGGCGCGACUGGAGUGAUGCAGAGGUCGAUGGAAUUGCCGGUGUAGUGGUGAAAUGCGUAGAGAUCAGGAAGAACACCGGUGGCGAAAGCGCUCUGCUGGACCUAAACUGACACUGAGGGACGAAAGCCAGGGGAGCAAACCGGGG
Molecule: ribosomal RNA, 255 nt
Filed under: uncultured bacterium
Lineage: Bacteria
Description: partial 16S ribosomal RNA
Rfam family: Bacterial small subunit ribosomal RNA
Source: RNAcentral